RNAcentral lists this ribosomal RNA (1335 nucleotides) under Burkholderia contaminans. Its description in RNAcentral is "23S ribosomal RNA (partial)". It matches the Rfam family "Bacterial large subunit ribosomal RNA", at positions 1602 to 2925 of the family's 2925-position model. Lineage: Bacteria; Pseudomonadati; Pseudomonadota; Betaproteobacteria; Burkholderiales; Burkholderiaceae. The record is from RNAcentral.
GUGGUUCCAAGAAAAGCCUCUAAGCUUCAGUCUAACGAUGACCGUACCGCAAACCGACACAGGUGGGCGAGAUGAGUAUUCUAAGGCGCUUGAGAGAACUCGGGAGAAGGAACUCGGCAAAUUGGUACCGUAACUUCGGGAUAAGGUACGCCCUUGUAGCUUGACUGGCCUGCGCCAGGAGGGUGAAGGGGUUGCAAUAAACUGGUGGCUGCGACUGUUUAAUAAAAACACAGCACUCUGCAAACACGAAAGUGGACGUAUAGGGUGUGACGCCUGCCCGGUGCCGGAAGAUUAAAUGAUGGGGUGCAAGCUCUUGAUUGAAGUCCCGGUAAACGGCGGCCGUAACUAUAACGGUCCUAAGGUAGCGAAAUUCCUUGUCGGGUAAGUUCCGACCUGCACGAAUGGCGUAACGAUGGCCACACUGUCUCCUCCCGAGACUCAGCGAAGUUGAAGUGUUUGUGAUGAUGCAAUCUACCCGCGGCUAGACGGAAAGACCCCAUGAACCUUUACUGUAGCUUUGCAUUGGACUUUGAACCGAUCUGUGUAGGAUAGGUGGGAGGCUAUGAAACCGGAACGCUAGUUUCGGUGGAGCCGUCCUUGAAAUACCACCCUGGUUUGUUUGAGGUUCUAACCUUGGCCCGUGAUCCGGGUCGGGGACAGUGCAUGGUAGGCAGUUUGACUGGGGCGGUCUCCUCCCAAAGCGUAACGGAGGAGUACGAAGGUACGCUAGGUACGGUCGGAAAUCGUGCUGAUAGUGCAAUGGCAUAAGCGUGCUUAACUGCGAGACCGACAAGUCGAGCAGGUGCGAAAGCAGGUCAUAGUGAUCCGGUGGUUCUGUAUGGAAGGGCCAUCGCUCAACGGAUAAAAGGUACUCUGGGGAUAACAGGCUGAUACCGCCCAAGAGUUCAUAUCGACGGCGGUGUUUGGCACCUCGAUGUCGGCUCAUCUCAUCCUGGGGCUGUAGCCGGUCCCAAGGGUAUGGCUGUUCGCCAUUUAAAGAGGUACGUGAGCUGGGUUUAAAACGUCGUGAGACAGUUUGGUCCCUAUCUGCCGUGGGCGUUGGAUAUUUGAAGGGGGCUGCUCCUAGUACGAGAGGACCGGAGUGGACGAACCUCUGGUGUACCGGUUGUCACGCCAGUGGCAUCGCCGGGUAGCUAUGUUCGGAAGAGAUAACCGCUGAAAGCAUCUAAGCGGGAAACUCGCCUUAAGAUGAGAUAUCCCUGGGGACUAGAUCCCCUUGAAGGGUCGUUCGAGACCAGGACGUUGAUAGGUCAGGUGUGUAAGCGCAGUAAUGCGUUCAGCUAACUGAUACUAAUUGCCCGUAAGGCUUGAUCC